CGCGGGGUUGAGACGGGGUUACAGCGUCCAGAUGGAGCUUGUUUGUGGAAGGAAGACAUCUGAAGACGCUUCAGCAGAGACACAAUCAACAACACACUGCACGGGUCAGUUUGGAGAGGUACUGGAGGAAAUUAUGACUUUAUAUAUGCAGAAUGAUGAUUAUAAAUACUGCAUUUUGUUUCUGUGAUUCUUUGCAUCGUCUGCACAUUUGAGCCCUUUCCAGCAGGGAUUGUAUGAUGUUGAGCCCAUAAUCAGACUGAAG
Molecule: long non-coding RNA, 262 nt
Organism: Cyprinus carpio carpio
Lineage: Eukaryota; Metazoa; Chordata; Actinopteri; Cypriniformes; Cyprinidae
Source: Ensembl